UACGAAGGGUGCAAGCGUUAAUCGGAAUUACUGGGCGUAAAGCGUGCGUAGGCGGUUUGUUAAGUCUGCUGUGAAAUCCCCGGGCUCAACCUGGGAAUGGCAGUGGAUACUGGCAAGCUAGAGUGUGUCAGAGGAUGGUGGAAUUCCCGGUGUAGCGGUAGAAAUGCGUAGAGAUCGGGAGGAACAUCAGUGGCGAAGGCGGCCAUCUGGGAAGAUACUGACGCUGAGGAGCGAAAGCGUGGGGAGCGAACGAGG
Molecule: ribosomal RNA, 255 nt
Filed under: uncultured bacterium
Lineage: Bacteria
Description: partial 16S ribosomal RNA
Rfam family: Bacterial small subunit ribosomal RNA
Source: RNAcentral